CGGCCCGCACAAGCAGGCGGAGCGUGUGGUUUAAUUCGUUGCUACACGAAGAACCUUACCUGGGUUUGACAUAAUGGUGGUAGGGAUCCGAAAGGUGACCGACCCUUCGGGGAGCCAUUACAGGUGUUGCAUGGCUGUCGUCAGCUCGUGUCGUGAGAUGUUCGGUUAAGUCCGCUAACGAGCGCAACCCUCGCCGUAUGUUACAAGUGUCAUACGGGACUGCCGGUAAAAGCCGGAGGAAGGUGAGGAGGAUGUCAAGUCAGCAUGACCUUUAUAUCCAGGGCUACACACACGCUACAAUGGUCUGUACAAUUGGUUGCCAAGCCGCGAGGCGGAGCCAAUCCGUAAAGCAGGCCUCAGUUCAGAUUGCAGUCUGCAACUCGACUGCAUGAAGCCGGAGUUGCUAGUAACCGCAGGUCAGCAAUACUGCGGUGAAUACGUUCCCGGGCCUU
This 452-nucleotide ribosomal RNA is filed under the name uncultured Anaerolineaceae bacterium. RNAcentral's name for it is "bacterial SSU rRNA". It matches the Rfam family "Bacterial small subunit ribosomal RNA", at positions 918 to 1380 of the family's 1533-position model. Lineage: Bacteria; Bacillati; Chloroflexota; Anaerolineae; Anaerolineales; Anaerolineaceae. The record is from RNAcentral.